AGCGAACGCUGGCGGCAGGCUUAACACAUGCAAGUCGAGCGGUCAUCCUUGUGGUGUCAGCGGCAGACGGGUGAGUAACGCGUGGGAACGUGCCCUUCGGUUCGGAAUAACUCAGGGAAACUUGAGCUAAUACCGGAUACGUGCGAGAGCAGAAAGGUUUUUCUGCGGAAGGAUCGGCGCGCGUCUGAUUAGCUAGUUGGUGAGGUUAUGGCUCACCAAGGCGACGAUCAGUAGCUGGUCUGAGAGGAUGAUCAGCCACACUGGGACUGAGACCCGGCGCCGACUCGUACGGGAAGCAGCAGUGGGGAAUAUUGGACAAUGGGGGCAAUGCUGAUCCAGCCAGGCCGCGUGAGUGAUGACGGCCUUAGGGUUGUAAAGCUCUUUUCUCCGGGACGAUAGUGACGGUACCGGAGGAAGAAGCCCCGGCUAACUUCGUG
This 437-nucleotide ribosomal RNA is filed under the name uncultured bacterium. RNAcentral's name for it is "partial 16S ribosomal RNA". It matches the Rfam family "Bacterial small subunit ribosomal RNA", at positions 29 to 507 of the family's 1533-position model. The record is from RNAcentral.